This 74-nucleotide transfer RNA is filed under the name Tarentola delalandii. Its description in RNAcentral is "tRNA-Asn". Lineage: Eukaryota; Metazoa; Chordata; Lepidosauria; Squamata; Phyllodactylidae. The record is from RNAcentral.
UAGAUGGAAGCCCGCUGGAUAGGGUGUUUAGUUGUUAACUAGAAUUUUGCGGGAUCGAGGCCCGUCGGUCUAGG